RNAcentral lists this long non-coding RNA (296 nucleotides) under Vigna radiata. Its description in RNAcentral is "long non-coding RNA (VRAD_LNC010661)". Lineage: Eukaryota; Viridiplantae; Streptophyta; Magnoliopsida; Fabales; Fabaceae. The record is from RNAcentral.
AGAACAUUAGUAGAUGACACGAGUCAAUAAGUGAAGAACCCCAUUUUUUGUCUGAUCACACAAAACAAUUACAAAUUCAACUAGUAUUGGAUAAAGACCACUAAAAUACCACUCAAACGCAAAGGUUGUAUAAAUCACAAAUCAUAAUAAAAUACACUGGAACAAGCAAAGGUUGUCAAAAGGUGCAGUAGAAUUUAUUCCACAACUUGGAAAAUUGAGAGUUUGGGACCAUAACUACCCAAGUUGACCAUCCAUCCCACAAACUAGGAUAUUUCCAUAUGAGAGUAACUAAGGCU